Molecule: long non-coding RNA, 523 nt
Organism: Helianthus annuus (common sunflower)
Lineage: Eukaryota; Viridiplantae; Streptophyta; Magnoliopsida; Asterales; Asteraceae
Exons: 4
Source: RefSeq, a predicted model, not a curated record
UCCCUCAUUUUUUUUCUCUCAGCCGUUCCAUCUUCCUAAACAUCUUUAGGGUUUUUUACAUUGCAGCCGCCUGUUCUUCUCCGUGUUCAAUCUUCAUCUCAAUGGUACACACUCAAAACCCUAGCGCCUCCCUCACUUUUUCUGCAGAUCCAUAUGUUGGAAUGGAAGAGUUUCACAAUCACGAAACCCUAGCCCUCAUCAUCUUCCCUGUUUUGAUUCAAGAAGCUAGGGUUUGUGGUUUUGAUCUGCUGUUGCUUUGGUUAAUCUAAUAUUGGGAAACCCGUUUCUGAAUCUCAUUUCAUUCAGCCUGGUUCAGUGUGAUCACUAACACAAUGUUUUAUAAAGAGGAAUCGCAACGUUCAAACGUAUAACCUCUACCUCAAUUUGACCGAAGCUUCAAAUGAUGAUGGAAAUUCCUUUUUGCUGCAAAGAGGUUUCGGCGCAUUAUCUGCACAGAUUAUAUAAUUUCCCUAAAUGCUGAUGAUAUAUCAAAAGGCAACAGUGGUUCCGUAGGAAAGUUGAG